GGUGAACGCUGGCGGUAGGCCUAACACAUGCAAGUCGAACGGCAGCACAGUAAGAGCUUGCUCUUACGGGUGGCGAGUGGCGGACGGGUGAGGAAUACAUCGGAAUCUACUUUUUCGUGGGGGAUAACGUAGGGAAACUUACGCUAAUACCGCAUACGACCUACGGGUGAAAGCAGGGGAUCUUCGGACCUUGCGCGAUUGAAUGAGCCGAUGUCGGAUUAGCUAGUUGGCGGGGUAAAGGCCCACCAAGGCGACGAUCCGUGGCUGGUCUGAGAGGAUGAUCAGCCACACUGGAACUGAGACACGGUCCAGACUCCUACGGGAGGCAGCAGUGGGGAAUAUUGGACAAUGGGCGCAAGCCUGAUCCAGCCAUACCGCGUGGGUGAAGAAGGCCUUCGGGUUGUAAAGCCCUUUUGUUGGGAAAGAAAAGCAGCAGGUUAAUACCCCGCUGUUCUGACGGUACCCAAAGAAUAAGCACCGGCUAACUUCGUG
Molecule: ribosomal RNA, 492 nt
Filed under: uncultured bacterium
Lineage: Bacteria
Description: partial 16S ribosomal RNA
Rfam family: Bacterial small subunit ribosomal RNA
Source: RNAcentral